Molecule: ribosomal RNA, 426 nt
Filed under: uncultured bacterium
Lineage: Bacteria
Description: bacterial SSU rRNA
Rfam family: Bacterial small subunit ribosomal RNA
Source: RNAcentral
GUCGGGAAUAUUGGGCAAUGGGCGAAAGCCUGACCCAGCAACGCCGCGUGCACGAUGAAGGCCUUCGGGUCGUAAAGUGCUUUUUGGGAGGAUGAGGAAGGACAGUACUCCCAGAAUAAGUCACGGCUAACUACGUGCCAGCAGCCGCGGUAAAACGUAGGUGACGAGCGUUAUCCGGAAUUACUGGGCGUAAAGCGCGUGCAGGCGGCUCAGCAAGUCGGGCAUGAAAUCUCCUAGCCUAACUGGGAGACGCUGUCCGAUACUGUUGGGCUUGAGGGCAGUAGAGGGUGGUGGAAUUCCGCAUGUAGUGGUGAAAUGCGUAGAUAUGCGGAGGAACACCAGUGGCGAAAGCGGCCACCUGGACUGCACCUGACGCUGAAGCGCGAAAGCUAGGGGAGCAAACGGGAUUAGAAACCCCAGUAGUCC